GUGAAUCAUCGAAUUUUUGAACGCAACUUGCACUUUCUGGUAUUCCGGAAAGUAUGCCUGUUUGAGGGUCAGGUAAAUAAAAAUCGGUGUUGUUGUUGCUUUUCGAGGUGACGAGUCGGAAUUUAGUUGUUUUCCCGUCGGUUAAGUGACUUAAAAUUUUGUAUGAUUUUCGACCGUAUUUAAAUUUGUUACGUAUGUUUGAGAUAUCGAAUUUUUUAAUAGGUUCG
This 227-nucleotide unclassified non-coding RNA is filed under the name Glomus sp. RNAcentral describes it as "partial contains 5.8S ribosomal RNA and internal transcribed spacer 2". The stretch from base 1 to 71 matches the Rfam family "5.8S ribosomal RNA", at positions 84 to 154 of the family's 154-position model. Lineage: Eukaryota; Fungi; Glomeromycota; Glomeromycetes; Glomerales; Glomeraceae. The record is from RNAcentral.